CAGAUCAUUUCUUUAUAGUUGAGUUUUCAUUUACGCUGAAUUAAUGUGUCGUGCGAUUCGGCAUGGUCUGA
RNAcentral lists this transfer RNA (71 nucleotides) under Acanthotermes acanthothorax. RNAcentral describes it as "tRNA-Val". Lineage: Eukaryota; Metazoa; Arthropoda; Insecta; Blattodea; Termitidae. The record is from RNAcentral.